ACGGCCUUCGGGUUGUAAACCUCUUUCAGUAGGGAAGAAGCGAAAGUGACGGUACCUGCAGAAGAAGCGCCGGCUAACUACGUGCCAGCAGCCGCGGUAAUACGUAGGGCGCAAGCGUUAUCCGGAAUUAUUGGGCGUAAAGAGCUCGUAGGCGGUUUGUCGCGUCUGCCGUGAAAGUCCGGGGCUCAACUCCGGAUCUGCGGUGGGUACGGGCAGGCUAGAGUGAUGUAGGGGAGACUGGAAUUCCUGGUGUAGCGGUGAAAUGCGCAGAUAUCAGGAGGAACACCGAUGGCGAAGGCAGGUCUCUGGGCAUUAACUGACGCUGAGGAGCGAAAGCAUGGGGAGCGAACAGGAUUAGAUACCCUGGUAGUCCAUGCCGUAAACGUUGGGCACUAGGUGUGGGGGACAUUCCACGUUUUCCGCGCCGUAGCUAACGCAUUAAGUGCCCCGCCUGGGGAGUACGGCCGCAAGGCUAAAACUCAAAGGAAUUGACGGGGGCCCGCACAAGCGGCGGAGCAUGCGGAUUAAUUCGAUGCAACGCGAAGAACCUUACCAAGGCUUGACAUGAACCGGUAACGCCUGGAGACAGGUGCCCCGCUUGCGGUCGGUUUACAGGUGGUGCAUGGUUGUCGUCAGCUCGUGUCGUGAGAUGUUGGGUUAAGUCCCGCAACGAGCGCAACCCUCGUUCUAUGUUGCCAGCACGU
RNAcentral lists this ribosomal RNA (704 nucleotides) under uncultured Arthrobacter sp. Its description in RNAcentral is "bacterial SSU rRNA". It matches the Rfam family "Bacterial small subunit ribosomal RNA", at positions 411 to 1126 of the family's 1533-position model. The record is from RNAcentral. Lineage: Bacteria; Bacillati; Actinomycetota; Actinomycetes; Micrococcales; Micrococcaceae.